UGGUCUUCCUAGGAGCGAUCACCUUUAUUACUCUUCAAUCUUCAUAUCUUGACUGUCGAAGCAUGUGUGGCUGACUGGAAUGGUUAUGCCCUCUAUCUCUGUUGCACCUAGGUCCUCGGAGAGAUGACGUGAACUGAAAAAAAAGAUUAAUAACGGAAUCGGAAAGUAAGGUUUAUUAAAUCUUCCAAAUCCAAACGUGGGGACUGCGUGAUGACGAAUGACGAUGCCACCGUAUGAGACCGAUUAUUUGUAUGAGACCACUGUGUUGUGUGCGGCAGUAAUGGUGGUGGAAACAGGACGUGGAAAACAAACUGAGAGCAAAGCAAGAGGCGAAGCGGAAGUGGUAACAGAUACGAAGUCUAAAGUGCAGUGAGGGUGUGUUAGAACAGGCAACACUGAAGCGUCACGGGUUUCGCAGACACUGAACUGAUACGAAACUGCAUGAAUGGGCCUGUAAGGAUGCUGAGACAAAAGGUGGCAAUAUCGAGGAAUCAAUUUGUAUUUAUAACUGAAAAGGGAAUCACUGGUGCAAUUUUUAUGCUGACAGAUUAUGGAAAAUAUAGGAAGCCAGGGGAAAUUACACGCAAUAUUCAAAGAUUUGGAAGUAAGAGAUAUGAUCAAAUUCUGAAAUAAGUAUGGAGAUGCUUGAAGAAAAUGGUGCUAGAGAAGUAUGUAAAUCUGAUUAUGGAGAUGUAUAGUAAUGUGAAAACGAAGGUUAAAAAACGUUUUGAUAUUGCAGGUUGGGCUGUAUCAAGGCUCAUCUCCGUAUUUGAUGCUUUGAUAGAGGAGGUAAGAAGAUGAGUGCCAUGGAAUAUGUAUGGGAUACUGUGAUAAUUGGUGUGAAUCAAAAGAAAUGGAGGAGAGGAAAGAGGAGUGGCGAAUAAGUAGAAGUAAGACAGAAUAUAGAAUAUGCAAAGCAGCUAAGGUAAUGACGGACCAUGAUCAAAACAGGAACUGAAGCUCUGGAACAUGGGCCUACAUGGUAACCACAGUCUGAACAGCUUGAAGGACUUUAAAUAUCUAGGUUUAACUGUUGCCACACAUGGAAACCAAGGUGGAAGUUAUAAUAGGAUACAGGUGAGAUGGAAAAACUGGCAUGAUUUUGGUUGAUUUUAGAGUGCCUUUUCACACUAUCAGGGAUGAUAAAUCCUUUCAAUGCACAAUGGAUAUGUUGUUUAUUAUGAAAACAAGCAGUCUAAGACCACUCUUUAACAGUAUACACAAGAACCCAAUGUAGCAGUUAGGUAGUUACUGUUUGUUUAUUAUGGGUACUAAAAAAAGAUUAGAAAUUUAUUAAAUAAAAUUCAUAUACUGGUAUGAAGAUUUAAUAAAAAAAAUUCUGUACAAAUAUAUACAUUAUCACAAUAUGUAUUAAUAUGUAUAUCCCAACAUCAAUUCUUGAAUAUUCAAGAUAAAAAGUCUAACAUGCUUGUAUGCCAACAAUAAUUUUCUUUAGCCACUUACAUAAUCUUAUUUAAACAAUUAUUCACACAAUUCUCUGUUUUUAAAUUUCUUUUUAAUUUUCUAACUGCAUACCAACCAAUACCUGAUUCAUUUAGAUGCCUAAACUAGCCUAUAUGCUUCACAGCAACACCACUUUCACACAUGAAAGGCCUAACACUUUUAACUACACAAUUGUCUGUAAUCUAAUAACCUGAUUUGCCUUAUUGGGUGGAAUAAUAAUGACAAAAGCACUGCUAACAAGUGCAUCAUGGAAAAACAGCUACACAAAAUAUUAAAUCACUAGAUGAUUGAGAUCACAUCAGUUUCACCAUGCUAAGCAACAACUCUUAAUUAGAAUUUAAUAAAAUCAGCACUCCAAUGUUUAUGAUUAUCAACUGCUUACAGCUGCCUUACACUGCUCAUAUUGAAGCCAGGCAUCUAAAGUAGACACUGCCUACAAGUCCAGGGACUAUUCUGAUGGCCAGUCAAGAAAGAAGAGAUGGCUUGUAUAAAGGCCUCAGAACCCUAAGAUAAAUUCAGACAAGCAUAAUGACCUGACAGUUCAUGUUCUCCUACACAUAAGUUUUCUUGAAAUGAAAUACACUUGGUACAAAUUACCACUCAUUAAUAAAUUCCAAAAUCACCUCAAGAAGCCAUGAAAAGAUUGAAGUGGACUGAAGCAUCUGAGAGCACUAAUUCACUCUGAUCAGAAAAAAAAAAAAUCAGUAUGCUGCUGCACUUCAAAUUCUUAAAACAUUA
This 2202-nucleotide long non-coding RNA is filed under the name Portunus trituberculatus (swimming crab). RNAcentral describes it as "uncharacterized LOC123517531". Lineage: Eukaryota; Metazoa; Arthropoda; Malacostraca; Decapoda; Portunidae. The record is from RNAcentral.